AAGUCGUAACAAGGUUUCCGUAGGUGAACCUGCGGAAGGAUCAUUAACACGUAUCCAACGUUAAAAACCCCGUGCAUUUUAUCCCUGCUCUCCUCACCUCAACAAGCAAUCUCCGGUAAAUCACAACGAACAGUUUGAUUCAGAGACUUCUUGAAGACGGAUGGAGCGGUAGAGCAAAUAGACUUGGUUUCCGAAAGGAUAACUGAUACUUACUCAGGUCGUUGACCCUCACGGUCAACGGACAGGUCAAACCCGUAUGUGAAAGUCGGGCUUGCAAACUACAGGCCCACAAAACGAACAACUGUUAACAAUGGAUAUCUUGGUUCUC
This 328-nucleotide unclassified non-coding RNA is filed under the name fungal sp. RNAcentral's name for it is "partial internal transcribed spacer region". The stretch from base 1 to 46 matches the Rfam family "Eukaryotic small subunit ribosomal RNA", at positions 1786 to 1831 of the family's 1831-position model. Lineage: Eukaryota; Fungi. The record is from RNAcentral.